This 1461-nucleotide ribosomal RNA is filed under the name uncultured organism. Its description in RNAcentral is "SSU rRNA". It matches the Rfam family "Bacterial small subunit ribosomal RNA". The record is from RNAcentral.
AACGCUGGCGGCAGGCCUAACACAUGCAAGUCGAACGGUAACAGGAAUCAGCUUGCUGAUUCGCUGACGAGUGGCGGACGGGUGAGUAAUGUCUGGGAAACUGCCUGAUGGAGGGGGAUAACUACUGGAAACGGUAGCUAAUACCGCAUAACGUCGCAAGACCAAAGAGGGGGACCUUCGGGCCUCUUGCCAUCGGAUGUGCCCAGAUGGGAUUAGCUAGUAGGUGGGGUAAAGGAUCACCUAGGCGACGAUCCCUAGCUGGUCUGAGAGGAUGACCAGCCACACUGGAACUGAGACACGGUCCAGACUCCUACGGGAGGCAGCAGUGGGGAAUAUUGCACAAUGGGCGCAAGCCUGAUGCAGCCAUGCCGCGUGUAUGAAGAAGGCCUUCGGGUUGUAAAGUACUUUCAGCGGGGAGGAAGGGAGUAAAGUUAAUACCUUUGCUCAUUGACGUUACCCGCAGAAGAAGCACCGGCUAACUCCGUGCCAGCAGCCGCGGUAAUACGGAGGGUGCAAGCGUUAAUCGGAAUUACUGGGCGUAAAGCGCACGCAGGCGGUUUGUUAAGUCAGAUGUGAAAUCCCCGGGCUCAACCUGGGAACUGCAUCUGAUACUGGCAAGCUUGAGUCUCGUAGAGGGGGGUAGAAUUCCAGGUGUAGCGGUGAAAUGCGUAGAGAUCUGGAGGAAUACCGGUGGCGAAGGCGGCCCCCUGGACGAAGACUGACGCUCAGGUGCGAAAGCGUGGGGAGCAAACAGGAUUAGAUACCCUGGUAGUCCACGCCGUAAACGAUGUCGACUUGGAGGUUGUGCCCUUGAGGCGUGGCUUCCGGAGCUAACGCGUUAAGUCGACCGCCUGGGGAGUACGGCCGUAAGGUUAAAACUCAAAUGAAUUGACGGGGGCCCGCACAAGCGGUGGAGCAUGUGGUUUAAUUCGAUGCAACGCGAAGAACCUUACCUGGUCUUGACAUCCACGGAAGUUUUCAGAGAUGAGAAUGUGCCUUCGGGAACCGUGAGACAGGUGCUGCAUGGCUGUCGUCAGCUCGUGUUGUGAAAUGUUGGGUUAAGUCCCGCAACGAGCGCAACCCUUAUCCUUUGUUGCCAGCGGUCCGGCCGGGAACUCAAAGGAGACUGCCAGUGAUAAACUGGAGGAAGGUGGGGAUGACGUCAAGUCAUCAUGGCCCUUACGACCAGGGCUACACACGUGCUACAAUGGCGCAUACAAAGAGAAGCGACCUCGCGAGAGCAAGCGGACCUCAUAAAGUGCGUCGUAGUCCGGAUUGGAGUCUGCAACUCGACUCCAUGAAGUCGGAAUCGCUAGUAAUCGUGGAUCAGAAUGCCACGGUGAAUACGUUCCCGGGCCUUGUACACACCGCCCGUCACACCAUGGGAGUGGGUUGCAAAAGAAGUAGGUAGCUUAACCUUCGGGAGGGCGCUUACCACUUUGUGAUUCAUGACUGGGGUGA